This 228-nucleotide ribosomal RNA is filed under the name uncultured bacterium. RNAcentral's name for it is "partial 16S ribosomal RNA". It matches the Rfam family "Bacterial small subunit ribosomal RNA", at positions 259 to 504 of the family's 1533-position model. The record is from RNAcentral.
AACGGCCCACCAAGGCGACGAUCAGUAGCCGGUCUGAGAGGGUGAUCGGCCACAUUGGAACUGAGACACGGCCCAGACUCCUACGGGAGGCAGCAGUGGGGAAUAUUGCACAAUGGGGGAAACCCUGAUGCAGCAACGCCGCGUGAGUGAUGACGGCCUUCGGGUUGUAAAACUCUGUCUUUGGGGACGAUAAUAACGGUACCCAAGGAGGAAGCCACGGCUAACUAC